AGAGAGAGAGAGAGAGAGAGAGAGACAGAGAGAGAGAGAGAGAGCAAUAGGUUUAGAACACAGAAAUGGGAUUUAGAAUUGUGUAUGGGGUGCUGUUUCUGUCGUUCUCGUGCGCCUGCAUCAAGCUCAUCCACCUUAUGCUCCACCCAGUAUUCUACUACACCACCUGAGGACUGAUGGGAAGCUAAGCCUCCACCAGGUCAAAUGCUGACCAAAAACAAGAACAAAAAAUUUGGGUUAGCUAGCCACAAAAUAGUCAUGGGAAUAAAUUUUCAACAAUGUUUUUAUGAUGUGGUGGCUAUCUGGAAUGUUUACGAUGGUGGUGGGUGGGUCAUGAAGCUUUUCUUUGUUGGGCUAGCAAUAGCAUUCAGGAGUCAUGAUGAGCCAUGACGUUGGUGUUGCUUGGAGGAUUGGACUCAGAAAAAAGAAAAUAAAUAUCAGAUUCCUGAAUUGAAAUUUUCAAAGUUGAAUAAAAGCUGAUUGGUUGAAUUUUAAAAUUGUAUGUUAACUUAUUCUUGAUCAUAUCCAUUGUUUAUAUCACUGGUCUUGACUAUAAUCA
Molecule: long non-coding RNA, 559 nt
Organism: Prunus dulcis (almond)
Lineage: Eukaryota; Viridiplantae; Streptophyta; Magnoliopsida; Rosales; Rosaceae
Exons: 2
Source: RefSeq, a predicted model, not a curated record